This is a long non-coding RNA of Helianthus annuus (common sunflower), 450 nucleotides long. RefSeq lists it as uncharacterized. The record is from RefSeq and is a predicted model, not a curated record. The transcript has 3 exons. NCBI's taxonomy places the organism in Eukaryota, Viridiplantae, Streptophyta, Magnoliopsida, Asterales, Asteraceae.
UCUCUAAUGUUUAUCUUUCUUCUUCUUCUUCUUCUCAUAUUCAUCUCCUCAACAAUGUUCGACAGAGGUUACUUCUAUUGGGUACAUCUGCAUUUGAAACCCUAAAUCAUGUACCGUCGAGUGGUUGAAGAAGAGAAUAAUCAUAAGAAGAAACAGAUCUCCUAGGGUUUCUUAUCGUACUCGAUGAACGCUUUUGUACAAGCUCCUCUUAAUCGGUGACUCUGAGUUUGUUGAUUAGAAGCAACCUCUGCCGGACGGUUGUUGAGGAGAUGGAAUUGUGAAAGGUGAUACCAGGUGUGUUGAUAGGUGAUACCAGUACAAAAGUUUAGGACAUCACCAAGGUAACUUAAAUUGGUGUGAUUUAUUUUUUGGUAUUUCUAACGUUUUGAUUUACUGUUUAUUGGUGCAUUGAUUCAUUUGUAAUCCUUUGCAGAUCUCCCGUCAUCUCAA